Molecule: RNA transcript, 3092 nt
Organism: Rosa chinensis
Lineage: Eukaryota; Viridiplantae; Streptophyta; Magnoliopsida; Rosales; Rosaceae
Gene name: pentatricopeptide repeat-containing protein At3g26782, mitochondrial
Exons: 4
Source: RefSeq, a predicted model, not a curated record
CAUUCCUCUUCCCCAAGUUGGUUUUGAAAACCAUUUGAGGAAUCAAAGCAGAGAGGAGAGGAAGAAGGAGAAGCAUCUCACUGAGUUGGGUUCUGCGUAAAUCUCUCUCUUUGGUCUUGAGGUGAAUUGGUUUAGCACAGACAGACAGAAGCAAAAUAUAGCCAUCAUUGUCAGUCUCAUUCCUAUGCAAAACCAAAACACUUUAUUGCUGCGUACUCUAAACCACCACAGACGUCUCCUGCACUGCACACAAUCCCAAUCCCAACUCUUUCAUAGACCAAUUAGACCAAGCACAUGCAUAUCGCUGAUAAAGCAAUGCAACACCCUUCAGUCCCUCAAAGCUGUCCAUGCCUCUAUCCUCAGAACCUACCUUCACUUCAAUAUCUUCUUUUGCACCAACCUCAUUGCCCACUAUGCCUCUUUGGGCUCAACCUCUCACGCCUAUACCCUCUUCUCUGCCUUCUCUUCCUCUGACGUUUUUCUUUGGAAUGUAAUCAUCAAAGGCUUUGUUGACAAUGGCCUGUACAACAGAGCCAUUGCUUUGUAUAGUCAAAUGUGGGAAUUGGGUGUUCACCCUGAUCACUUUACAUUCCCUUUUGUUCUUAAGGCUUGUGGUUAUGUUUGUGACCAUAAGGUUGGUGUAAAGGUUCAUGGAGAUGUGAUUCAAUGUGGUUAUGCUGCAGAUUUGUUUGUAGGCAAUUCACUCAUUGCACUUUAUGGUAAACUGGGGCAGAUCGAGGCUGCAAGAAAGGUGUUUGAUAAAAUUCCUGACCGUACUGUGGUUUCCUGGAGUUCAAUGAUUGGCGCGUAUGCGCAAAAUGGGUAUUUUGAGGAAGGAUUAUUUUUGUUUGUGAUGAUGUUGAAUGACAGAUUGAGACCCAACAGGGCUGCAAUUUUGAAUGUGAUGGCUUGUGUUUUAAGAAGCAAGGAGGCUGAUGAGGUUUGUGCAGUCUUGAUAGAUAAUGGACUUCAGUUUGAUAGAUCUGUUCAAAAUGCUGCAAUGCAGAUGUAUGCACGCUGCGGAAGAAUUGAUGUUGCUCGAGGUUUCUUUAAUGGAAUCAUUGAUAAAGACUUGGUGAGUUGGGCAUCCAUGAUUGAAGCAUAUGCGCAAGUUAAUUUGCCUCUUGAAGCCUUGGAGCUCUUUAAAAGUAUGAUGGUGCAAAGGAUUCGCCCUGAUUUGGUGGCACUUUUGAGUGUGAUUCGCACUUGUUCAAAUCUAGCAUCAUAUAAGAAAGCACGCUGGAUUCACGGAGUUGUUAUUCGUUCCUUUUUUGGGCACCAUGUCACGCUUGAAACUUCUCUAGUUGAUCUAUAUGUAAAAUGUGGAAGUUUGGUAUAUGCUAGAAAAGUUUUUGAUAAGAUGCAAGAAAGAAAUAUAAUAUCAUGGAGCACCAUGAUUUCAGGAUAUGGGAUGCAUGGUCAUGGAAGAGAAGCAGUCAACCUCUUUCAUCAGAUGAAGGCUCCAACAAAACCAGACCACGUUGCAUUUCUAUCAGUGUUGUCGGCAUGCAGUCAUGGUGGUUUGAUUGCCGAAGGAUGGGACUGCUUCAAUUCUAUGGGUCGGGAUUUUCACAUCAUACCAAGACCCGAACAUUAUGCAUGUAUGGUUGAUCUGUUGGGUCGAUCUGGUCGACUGAAUGAAGCCUUUGAGUUUAUUGAGAGAAUGCCGGUAAGGCCAGAUGCUGGUGUUUGGGGAGCACUUCUCGGGGCAUGUAGAAUUCAUUCAAACAUAGAACUGGCAAAAACUGCUGCAAAGAAUUUAUUUGAAUUGGAUGCGGAGAACCCAGGUCGAUAUGUCCUCAUGUCCAAUAUUUAUGCAUCUUCUGGUAAACAGAAGGAUGCUGAUAAAAUUAGAGAUUUAAUGAAACAAAGAGGAGUGAGGAAGGUUGCUGGUCAUACUAGUAUAGAGAUUAGAAACAAGGUCUACACAUUUGUGGCUGGAGACAAGUCACAUGCUCAAUCUGAUUUAAUCUAUUCAGAGUUGGAGAAAGUUAUAAACAGGAUUCGGCAAGAAGGUUACAAGCCGGAUUUGAACUUUGUAUUGCACGAUGUGGAGGAAGAGAUGAAGGAAACAAUGUUGUAUGUGCAUAGUGAGAAGCUUGCAAUAGUUUUUGGACUUUUAAAUUCAGGACCAGGAAGUGUUAUUAGAAUUAAUAAGAAUCUUAGAGUCUGUGGGGAUUGUCAUACAGCUUCCAAGUUUAUCUCUAAGGUUAUGGGAAGGGAAAUUGUAAUGAGAGAUGCUCAUAGAUUCCACCAUUUCAAUAAUGGUGCAUGCUCUUGUGGGGAUUAUUGGUGACAUUGUCAUAGAAGGUCAAUAUCUGGUCCACAAACUCUCAAUAAUAUUACAAUAUUGCUGGUCACAGCAUCUGGUACCCUCAUUACCAUCUGUUUUGUCAUCGUUAAAUCUUGAUUUAUUUUCUCUUUCAACCCGGAGAACAUAAAGCGCUGGUGAUGAGUGUGCAACGCUAAUCCUAUAAUCACGACCAAGUAAAUCAUCGACCUGUUCAUGAAUUAUCAGGAAGAGUUCGUGACACUGUUUCACACCAUCUAGUUCAUCAACUGGUGAUUCUUCCAGAAAACUGGAUUUUCAUGUGUAAAGACAAAUGAGCUUUGUAAUCCAGUCUGUGGGACUUGUCCAGUUGCCAAGUGCUUCCACGUAAUGACAAUUAUGUUAUUGCUGUGCUGUAUCAGGAAUGAUUUUGAUCUGUCAUCGAAAAAAACGAAUGAUUUUGAUCCUGGUAGUGCCUUAAACUUCUAUGUGGAAAAAUAUGUGGAAUUUGGAGGUGAUACAUUCUUGAAAAUGACCGUUUAAAUUCAUUGUCAUUUUCAAAUUUCCAAAAGAAUAAACUGCAAGAAAAGAACAAGAGCACGCUUACAGCCAUUGCCACUACCAACUACAAUGCCUUUUCCGACCUGCAAGCUGUGAAAAGAACUGUUCUGGCAGUGUAACCUGUGAAAAGAACUGUUCUGGCUAGUUUUACAAUACCUGUUUAUCACAAAUUAUUUAUGGCCAAUCGACUAGCGCAAUUUACAUCUCGGAUUCAGAAAUGUGUGGAGUCUUUCAACAUUGUAUACAUAAUCAAAUAUUUACG